AGCGUAUGGAUGUAGUUUAGUGGUUAGAAUACUACAUUAUGGCCAUAGAGACCUGGGCUCAAAUCCCUGCUCUGCCA
Dovyalis caffra is the source of this 77-nucleotide non-coding RNA. Lineage: Eukaryota; Viridiplantae; Streptophyta; Magnoliopsida; Malpighiales; Salicaceae. The record is from the annotation of a GenBank genome assembly.